Molecule: ribosomal RNA, 209 nt
Filed under: uncultured bacterium
Lineage: Bacteria
Description: partial 16S ribosomal RNA
Rfam family: Bacterial small subunit ribosomal RNA
Source: RNAcentral
UCGGAUUGUAGUCUGCAACUCGACUACAUGAAGCCGGAAUCGCUAGUAAUCGCGGAUCAGAAUGCCGCGGUGAAUACGUUCCCGGGUCUUGUACACACCGCCCGUCACACCAUGGGAGCCGGAAAUGCCCGAAGUCAGUGACCCAACCAAUAAGGAGGGAGCUGCCGAAGGCAGGUCUGGUGACUGGGGUGAAGUCGUAACAAGGUAUC